GCUUUCACUUGCUGCUUUGCCAAGGAACUGAUUUCCUCUGAGAAUAUAUAGAACUUGAAUUAUCCAGGUAUUCGUAAAAUGGGUUGCGAUUAUUCCAGGCGUGUUCACAUGCGCUAUGAAGAAUUUCACGACUUCGUGGGAAAGUUUAGCCUCUAGUUGAGUUCGCUGUGUUUCUUGGCUAUGGAGAUGUAGAUUCAGGAUUUUGCGGAUAUCCUCGAUCGUCUUUAUGUUGCUAUUCUCCGCCAGUUGAAACAGCUGAGGCUGCCCCUCUCCAAUGAUGCUUAAGGUCACCAGUGCAUCACUCAAAACUGUGCCGUUGGGAACUACUAUCCACUGCCUAAUUGGAGAGUGUGCUAUGAAAGCGCUAUUGAUGUUUAGUUGUGUCUUAAACUUCAAUGUGCGACCUGUUGAGUCGGGGGUAAAGAUUUCUUAUAUUUAGAUAGUUGUAGCAAGGUAAUCUUUAGUAAUCGAAGCCUGCUUGUUGGGAGGAUUAUUUUUUUGCAGAUUGUUUUGUUUGGACUCGUGAUGAAUCUAAGGUCUGUAGAAAGAGUUUAGCGUAAACCUUGCGGAAUACCCAUUACAAUUCAGAAGCCUUGCUGUCCGCUGUGACAAUGGCCAUGACUGUGGGAAGAUAACUCCAAUGUCACUUUUCAUGGACGCCAGCAUAUGGAACUUGGCAUAGUUGCGAAGUGAAGCUGCAGUUUACAGGGACUCCAGAGCUUUGGGCACUUUGUUUUUAGGUAUCAAUGAUAUGUUUGGAAUCGGCCAUUAAUCCACCAAUAUUUGCAAAUUUCCUUUCCUUCGGAAUUUCAAUUUUAUAGCUAUCCAAAGCAUGCGCUUUCCUACGUA
Molecule: non-coding RNA, 849 nt
Organism: Physcomitrium patens
Lineage: Eukaryota; Viridiplantae; Streptophyta; Bryopsida; Funariales; Funariaceae
Source: RefSeq, a predicted model, not a curated record